This 559-nucleotide ribosomal RNA is filed under the name uncultured bacterium. Its description in RNAcentral is "bacterial SSU rRNA". It matches the Rfam family "Bacterial small subunit ribosomal RNA", at positions 159 to 739 of the family's 1533-position model. The record is from RNAcentral.
GUGAUUAAUACCGGAUACUCUUUCUUGUUAUAAGACAAGUCGGGAAAGUUUUCCGCUAAGGGAUCAGUCUAUGUUCCAUCAGCUUGUUGGUGAGGUAAUGUCUCACAAAGGCUAUGACGGAUAUCUGGUUUGAGAGGAUGAUCAGACACACUGGAACUGAGACACGGUCCAGACUCCUACGGGAGGCAGCAGUGAGGAAUAUUGCACAAUGGAGGAAACUCUGAUGCAGCAACGCCGCGUGGAGGAUGACGCAUUUCGGUGUGUAAGCUCCUUUUAUUAGGGAAGAUAAUGACGGUACCUAAUGAAUAAGCACCGGCUAACUCCGUGCCAGCAGCCGCGGUAAUACGGAGGGUGCGAGCGUUACUCGGAAUCACUGGGCGUAAAGGGUGCGUAGGCUGGCUUUUAAGUCAGAUGUGAAAUCCAAUGGCUCAACCAUUGAACUGCAUUUGAAACUGAAAGCCUAGAGUUCAGAAGGGGCAGAUGGAAUUAGUGGUGUAGGGGUAAAAUCCGUAGAUAUCACUAGGAAUAUCAAAAGCGAAGGCGAUCUGCUGGGAUGAUA